This 468-nucleotide ribosomal RNA is filed under the name uncultured bacterium. RNAcentral describes it as "partial 16S ribosomal RNA". It matches the Rfam family "Bacterial small subunit ribosomal RNA", at positions 28 to 507 of the family's 1533-position model. The record is from RNAcentral.
GACGAACGCUGGCGGCGCGCCUAACACAUGCAAGUCGAACGGAGCUGAGAGAAGCUUGCUUUUCUUAGCUUAGUGGCGAACGGGUGAGUAACGCGUGAGUAACCUGCUCUGGAGUGGGGGACAACAGUUGGAAACGACUGCUAAUACCGCAUAAGCCCACGGCCCGGCAUCGGGCUGAGGGAAAAGGAUUUAUUCGCUUCAGGCUGGACUCGCGUCCAAUUAGCUAGUUGGUGAGGUAACGGCCUACCAAGGCGACGAUUGGUAGCCGGACGGAGAGGUUGAACGGCCACAUUGGGGCUGAGACACGGCCCAGACUCCUACGGGGGGCAGCAGUAGAGGAUAUUGCGCAAUGGGGGAAACCCUGGUGCAGCGACGCCGCGUGGAGGAAGAAGGUUUUCGGAUUGUAAACUCCUGUCGUUAGGGGCGAUAGUGACGGUACCUGGCAAGAAAGCACCGGCUAACUACGUG